RNAcentral lists this long non-coding RNA (1980 nucleotides) under Canis lupus familiaris (dog). RNAcentral describes it as "lncRNA (ENSCAFG00040025489.1)". Lineage: Eukaryota; Metazoa; Chordata; Mammalia; Carnivora; Canidae. The record is from RNAcentral.
UUUUUUUUUUUUUUUUUUUUUUUUUUUUUUUUUUCCCUUUCCCCCAACUGGCUUUCUGGACUAGGAGUCUCCGUUCCAUUUCUCCUGCUUUCCCAAAUCAGAAACGAGCCGGGCCCGCGCGGCUUCUGCGGUCUGGGGUUUCUCUGUCGUGCAGCGUGUGCGGGGGGAAGAGCGCACGGAGCCACCUCACAGCGAGAGGAAGGGCGCGGGGUCCGCGUUCCCCGGGGCCGGGCGGGCAGGCUGGGAGCGGCCCGGCCCCCGCUCCCCCGCUCCCCCGCGGCCCCUCCGGCCCGAGCGCGGCCCCUGCGAGGCCCCCCGGGGGCUCCGCCCGCGCCCGCAGCGCCCGCCGACACCAAGUUUGCGCGCCCGGGAGGCGGAUGGAGACGCCGGCGGCGGGGCUCCGCAGGGGGUGCGCGGCGCCGGUCCCCUGCCGGCGGCUUCACGCGGAAAAUAAUUGAACACAAAAUAAAAGCAGCGUCGGCCCUGGAGGAAGCCGGGCACGUAACCCCGCCGCACUUUGCGCUCCGCGCGCCCCGGGUCGGUGGCCCGGACCGCAGCCCGACCAACUUUCCCGGAGCCCCGGGCCGCCCGCGCGGCCGCUGCGCUGCCGGGGGCGCCGCAGGCCGGGUGCGACCCCGGGGGCGGCGGGGGGCGGCGGGGGGCGGCGGGGGGCGGCGGGGGACCGCACCCGCACCCGCACCCGCCGCGCGCCCCGCCCCCGCCCCGCGCCCCGGCCCCUCUCCAGCCCCAAGUCUGCGCGCCCCAGAAGUGGAGCGAGCCUCCCAGCAGGAGCGACGGACUGGACGGAACGCCGCCCCCGCUCGCGCCCCCGCGCCGCGCCGCCCCUCGGCUCCCGCCCUCCCGCCGCCACUUCCCUCCUUCCUCAAGUCCCCGCGCGCGGCGGGACUUUGGGGAGCCCCGGGGCACGCGCCCGGCCCCCCGCGCGCCGGGAGCGCGGCGCCUCCUUCCCCUCGCGGCGGGAAAGUUGCGCCCGCGCGGCCCCCGGCGAGCCUCGGCGGACCUCCGGGGGCGCCUCCGCGGGGCUGCCCCGCCGGCCGCCCCGGCCCCCGCGGCCCCGCGCUCGCCUCUGCGCACACAAUGCCGCCCCCGUCCCCGCCCCCGUCCCCGUCCCCGCGCCGGCAAAGUCCGGGGACCCGGGGGCCAACGCGCCGGCCGGAGCCGGGUCCCGAGCACCGCGGCCGGGGCGCCCCCCGCCGGCCCCGGGGGCGGACCUUACCCGCGGGACGCGCCGGCUCCCGCCGCUCAGCUGGCCCGCGGGCCACGGGGACGCCGCAGCCGGGGUCCCGGAGACGCUGCUGCUCCGCUGCCGCUGCCCGGAUCCCCGGCGCCAGCAUCACUUCUCCGCCGCCUCCGCCUCCCCGAGCUCCGCUCCCGGCCGCGCGCAGGACCCGCAGCCCCGGCGGCGCGGCGGGCUGGGCAGCAGCGGAGGCGGCGGCGCCCGCACGAGCUCGCCCGGCUGCACCGGCUCGAGCAGCCGCCGCGGCAGCCGGAGCCCCCGAGCCCGGCGGCGCUUCCCCGGCGAAGGCUCGGGCCUCGGAGACUGACGGCGCCCGGCAGCCAAUCGGCGCGCCGCCCCGCGCGGCGGGGGAGGCCAAUCAGGGCGCAAGGCCCAAGGCCCGCCUCCGCCCUCGCUCCGCGGGCUGGUUUCCGGGAGCGGCGGCGCUGCCGCGGGGUCUGGGCGGGGGGCGCGCGGGCGGGCGGGGGGCGGGGGAAGGACGCGCCCCGGGGCGAGGCCGCGUGCGGGAGCCCCGCGCCCCGGACCGCGCCCGCCCUGCCCUUCGGCGGCUCCGGGGCCUCGGCGCCUCGCGGGGCGCAGCCGGGAGGGGCGCCGACCCAGGGCGCGCGCAGGCCCGCCCCAAAGUUGCAGGUGCACGGCCCCCCCGGCUCUCCCACCUGCACCCCGCGCCGGGCGCGCUCCGGGAGCCACGGCUCCAGAAGCCACGCGGAAAGAGGCUUUAA